AGUGAACGCUGGCGGUAGGCCUAACACAUGCAAGUCGAACGGCAGCACAGUAAGAGCUUGCUCUUACGGGUGGCGAGUGGCGGACGGGUGAGGAAUACAUCGGAAUCUACUUUUUCGUGGGGGAUAACGUAGGGAAACUUACGCUAAUACCGCAUACGACCUACGGGUGAAAGCAGGGGAUCUUCGGACCUUGCGCGAUUGAAUGAGCCGAUGUCGGAUUAGCUAGUUGGCGGGGUAAAGGCCCACCAAGGCGACGAUCCGUAGCUGGUCUGAGAGGAUGAUCAGCCACACUGGAACUGAGACAGCGUCCAGACUCCUACGGGAGGCAGCAGUGGGGAAUAUUGGACAAUGGGCGCAAGCCUGAUCCAGCCAUACCGCGUGGGUGAAGAAGGCCUUCGGGUUGUAAAGACCUUUUGUUGGGAAAGAAAAGCAGCAGGUUAAUACCCCGCUGUUCUGACGGUACCCAAAGAAUAAGCACCGGCUAACUUCGUG
RNAcentral lists this ribosomal RNA (492 nucleotides) under uncultured bacterium. Its description in RNAcentral is "partial 16S ribosomal RNA". It matches the Rfam family "Bacterial small subunit ribosomal RNA", at positions 29 to 507 of the family's 1533-position model. The record is from RNAcentral.